RNAcentral lists this long non-coding RNA (5829 nucleotides) under Taeniopygia guttata (zebra finch). RNAcentral's name for it is "lncRNA (ENSTGUG00000027100.1)". Lineage: Eukaryota; Metazoa; Chordata; Aves; Passeriformes; Estrildidae. The record is from RNAcentral.
UUUCCUUUUACCACAGAAACAAUAUUUCAGCACUGGCUGUCAGAAAGCCCUGAGCGCUGAGGAUGUGCAGCGCGCUCCAUGGAUGCUGGGUUGGAUUUUCAGCCUACCUAAACUGUCCCGGGUGUUUCCUGGCAUGGGAGCUGUGUGUCCAGGUUGGCACCACCACGCUGCCCCAUGGCAGGCUGCUGCUUUGGCAACCCCUCUCUCUUGAUUUCUCUUUUUAUGCUCAAGUCAAAUGACAUGAAACAACCUAACCUGUGGCCUGUUGCUGUCACCAGCAGGUGUCCUGAUGGAUGAACCAUGCUUUAUCCCUGUCCUAGAACUGGGAAGUGCAGGAGGAGUUGUGUUUGUGCCCUGGAGGCACAUGGCCCUCUGCCUCUGACUGGGGUGCAGUGAAAAUUGCUGGUGCUGAGGAUGCUGGCCAGAAGCAGAGGUUAUUUUUCCUCCCCAGCACAUGCCAGUGGUACCUUUUCAGGAGUGGGUGCACUCCAAGUGGAUACCAACAAUCCUGUGAACAACCUGCCAGUGUCGGUGCUUUGGUGGGAUGAUGUUUUGUGAGGUUCUGCUUGCCCAGCACCUUUCGGUGUUGGAAGUCACAGCCACUACCUAAUGCUCUGAUUUUGUGCCUGAAUUUGGCUUGAAUAAGGCAUUUGCUUACUGAAGUAAACAAAACAAAGGAAAAAGAAGUCUUUUCUUCCCAAAGAUAGUUAUCUUUUCCCAAAAGUUAUCUUUUCUUCCCAAAAGAUAACAUUUUCAAGUGGGAGCUCUACCACAGCAGCCCAUCCUGGGGACCCACAGGAACUUAAAUUGGUCUGCCCAAUGCUAAAACAAGAUCAUGUGGCCAAGGCAAUCUUGGGAUGGCUGCUGAAUGAAGCAAGGUGUAAAGUAGGAUGGACCAGGGUGAUGGAUAAGUGCAGGAGCCAGGGGAGUCUCCCCACACAUUGUCCAGGUUUGGCCUUGUCCAGGCCAAAGACUGGAUUGGGAUCUUGCAGGGAGCUCCUGGUCCCAUGCUGCCCAUCCUGGCUGUUGCAGUGCUAUCAGUGGCUCCCAUAUGGUUAUCAGGCUGCACACUGCACUGCCUCUGUGGCUUCUGCUGAAACCCAUCCCAGACCUCUCUGCUCUGAAAAUCAGAAAUCUUUUCAUCUCCAGCCCCACAACUCUCAGUUUAGGGAUUUCACAAGAUUUUCUAAUGGCUUUUCUUCUUCCAUGUAUCUCUCAGUAGCAAUUAUACCCCCUUCAGCCCUGUUGUGAUAGCCUAAAUAAGACCAAAUUUAGGUAGCUUCCUCUCAUAAGAUAAUCCUCCUUUCUUUGACUGUUGUAGUCAUUUUACACACCAGUUUCAGUUCCUUGGAAAGACAAGGGAAAAGGUUUUCAGAGUUGUGGCUGGGAUUUCAGGCUUAAGAUCAAUGGGCCUUUUGUUUUGAAAUCCAAUUCAGUGGGCUUUUAUGAACAUAUCUGAUCAUUACUGUGAGCAUCUCAAAAAGUUUGGAGUCCCAGCUACGAAACAACGCCGCUGAUUCCAAGAACUUGUACAAAUAUUUAUAAUCAACAGGAGGCAAGCUAAGAGCCAUUCAAACAAGAGAUAAGAUUAGUAGCUGAAGUGGCUGGGCUGCAAUUGUUAUUGUGCAAGUCAAAGAAAAGGCUGUCACACAUGGAGGAUAUUGCCAAGCAAGUCAUUCUUCGCCGAGUCAUUCUUCUCUCAUCUUCUGUCUGAAUUCUCCUGCAGUUUUCCCAGACCUACUCAGGCUACUGGGUUAGGAGGUGAGUGAGUUUAGACUUUUUUCCAAGUUGUGUCAGAUAUUUCCCUUGGUCCCGCUCUUGUCCAGCACCCCUACCGUGGAAAAGGGGAAAAGGGAAGUUCAGAGAACUUCCUGUGCCGUGAUGGGAGUUGGAGCACUGAAGCAACUGAAGCCAGGUUGCUGUUGCCAUCUCUCAGAUGCAGAGCACUCAGGAGGCUUUUACAGCCACGGGGGGAUCUCUGAGGCUGGCUGAAGGCUCAGACCAGCCCCUGGACAGGAAGGUGUAACAGGAUGGUGAAAGCUCUCUGCUCUCCAUCUGGAUCCUCCUCGGAGUGUGCCUUUGGAGAGAGGAGUUCAGUGUGGCUCAUCCACUGCUGUGAGGCGUUGGUUACCCUGUGAACAAGCCCCAUCGUGUGCAGCAAACAAGAAACCGGCACACAACAUAUGAAAGUCAUUUAGGAAGAUGGAAAUGAUGAGCGGUGCACACAAUAGCGUUGCUAUUAGGAUCUGUCGAUCCUAAUUAAAAAAAUACUUCCCAAUGAAAAUUAUUUAUAAAAAGAAAUCACAGUGACCCUAAAUCAAAUUAUUUGUGAAUGGUUUUUAGUCUCCCAGAUCAGUUAAAACUCCUGUGUUAGUCACUGGACAUCAUCCAAGCUACAUGCUGAAUGAAUAACAUCCCUGCCAAAUUUCAUUUUUUUUCACCCUCACCAAGUUUGGCACAGGACAGUUAAAGUCAUUUUUCUAAAUAUCUUUCAGAACAUCAAGCGACUGUAAAAUAACAAUGGGAAAGCUUGGCCACAGCCAACUGCAGCCCUCCAGUUGGAACCGCUUCUCUCCAAGAAAGCAGCUCCACUUCCUUUGAUGAUCUGUUUUGGGGGAGCACUGAGGCAAGGAUUCCUCCAUGGGGGUACUGGAGGGUCACUGCCCCAGGGGCAACCCUGCCAAGGAGCCUGGCUUCCAGCUGUUCCAGCGUGGGGCACAGCUGGAUCCAGACUGGCCCUGGGUACAGGGUUUGUGUCUUUUUGGCCACCUGCUAGAGGGUGACAUCCCGAGGACAAACCAGCCAUUCCUUGUCCACAGUGGCAGUUUCCAUGGUGAGCUGUAACGACGCCUCUUCUGCUCACUCUUCAGAAACAAAAAACAAACAAAAAAGAAAGAAAGAAAUAAGGAAUCAAUGACUGCACAAUGGCAGAACAAGUUCUUGCUGCUUGUGUCUGCAAAGAUAAAGGGCUAAUUCUUCUAAGCACUCUGUGAUGUCCUAUCCAAGUGAAUUAAGUUUGGGAUUGUUUUCAUGAUGGCUUGUUCCAACUCCAGUGUGCUUUCUCUCCUUUGACUGGCCUGCAAGUCCCCCACUGCCCUUUUCUCAGCUGGCUUCCCCCUCAUUUGCUCUUUCUGACCAUGGAGGUGCCAUCACCUGCAGAAGGUUAGGAGCUUCCCCAGCUCUUGGUUCUCAGAGACCCUAAGAGGCAAGCAUGGUUCUCCAGCUCCCCACAUAAUCCAGGAAGUGCUGGCUGCUCUUCUGUUGAAAGCUAGCAAUAAAUGGCCACCAAAUUCCAAUCUUGCUGGUUUCAGUGAGACUAAUUUAUAAACCCAGGGGUCUCUGCUCCUUGUCUCCUAAGGUGGAGUAAGGAUUGGAGCCCAGCAUUAUGUGCAGCAGUUAGCAAAGGCUGUGUCACCUGUGUAUGUGACUGACUGUUUCCCAAUAUCCAGGUGGCUUUUUUGCCUCCAGUUGAACUGGUGUGAUACCUGGGUGGGCCUCCUCCUUCCCUUCCCUCUUCCCAUGCCCAUGGCAUUGGCUGGGAAGGUGCUCUGUCCACAGGGAUGUCCAGGAAGGUGGGCAUAGCUGACUCACAGGCACAGCUGCUCUGGCUCCUGUGACCAGCUGGUUCAUCCUUUUAUUAAGAUGUCAGCACCUCCUGUGUUUUUGCUGUUUGAUUCCUCUUGUUUCCCUGCUGCCUUGCUGCUGUCUCCAGAGCUGUGCCCAGAUGGUCCUGUUGUUCCUCCAGCCAUGACUGCUGGUUCUGGACUUGCACAGCCAUGCAGCAAGGCAGCUGACACCCUCUCUGCUCUUGCUUUUCCUUCUGGGCUUAUGGACAUGCUGGGGGUUGUGAAUCCAUGCCCUCAAAGCACGUUUUUGGGAAGUGUGCUUUAGAAAGCACUGGCUGGCUUUGCCUGAUAGAGGUGUGUCCCCCUCCCGUGCCACAAUGCCUGCUUUAUCCUGCCACUCAUUUGCAGCCCCUAAAGCUGUUGGAUCACACCAGGUGGGGUCCCUAAUGUGUCCAGGAGCAGUCCAGCUGGUGCAGGGUCCCAGAGGAGAAAAGGGUGGGAGAAGGCGGAGAGAAGCUUUGGUUCCAGAGACUCCCAGGUAUGAUUGUGACUCGGAUCUCCACACCUCCUCCUCCAGCCAGGGGACAUUUCUGGCUAUUUGUAACUUCUGGUUUUGAGGUUAAUACUCCAGCCCCUCCCCAGUGCAGCUUUUUGCAGGCUGUGAUUCUUUCUCAGAUUACUUUAAACUCCCUUUCCUUAAAAAGUAUGUGAGGAUGUUGGACUCAAUCUUUUACAAUCUGUUCCCAGGGAGCAAGGUUGCUCAUAGAGCUGGGGUGAAAUGGGCUGACUACUUCCAUGUGGGGCCAAAGAAACCCCAAACAUCUGCGAGGAUGAGAAGGAAGAUACAGAACAAAUCAGUUCUGAAAUGAGAUUUAGAACAAAACACAGUUUACCAGUUUUGCACUCAAGAAAAUGAUGCUUUGACUUUUUCUUUUCCCCAGAAGUUUUUCACUGAAGAUGCUGACCUGACUGUUGCCACUGGGACAGGAUGUAUCUAAUCCUCAGCUCUCAGAUGAGCUGGCUGCUGCCAGCAUGACACAGAGCUGUAGUUUGACCCCAAAUGGCAGCUCAGCACCAUCAUCCACUCACUCACUCCCCUCUGAUGGGGUGGGAGAGAGAAUGAGAAGGAGGAAAGUGAGAAAAACUGGCAGCUGAGAUAAAGACAGUUAGGGAAAGCAAAACUACAUGCACCAGCAAAGCAAAGCAAGCAAUCUGUUCCCCACCUGCCAUCGCAGGCACCCCCAGCACAGCAGAGCUGGGGUAUCCCUUGGGUCAGUGGGGGUCAGCUGUCCUGGCUGUGUCCCCUCCCAGCUCCUUGUGCACCCCCAGCUGCUCACUGGUGGGGUGAUUUGAGAAGCAGAAAAGGCCUUGGUUCUGUGUAAGCCAUGCUCAGCAAUAACAAAAACAUCUCUAUGUUAUCAGCCAUGUUUUCAGCACAAAUCCAAAGCACAGCCCCAUAGCAGCUACUGGGAAGAAAAUUAACUCCACCCCAGCCACAACCAGCACACAGAAUCCCAGCUCCUCAUCCUCUGUGGUGUUUGGUUUACAUGACUCUGAAAGGAAAACGCUCCCAAAACUCACACAAGGAAGAGCAAACUCGAGCUGUGCAGUACAGAGAAGGGCUCAGAUCCAUUUCUGGAUUGCAAGUAGCUGAUGUUCCUGUGGUGGAACCUCUUGCUGCAUCCAGGUAAUUGUCUCCCUGGACCCUGCACCCAACUAGUGAUUUUAGUGCCUCUGGUUUUGAAUCCUCUUUUCCUGUGGUGGUAAGCAGCAGCCACAAGGCUAAUGGGUGUAUUCAAGACUUGUUCUAGCAGUGUUAAGCUCAUUGCAGAAGCUCAGGAGCUGCCUUUUGGCUCCUGGGGGCAAAUGUGUGUGUGUGUGUGAGUGAAUGCAGCCCUGCAGGCACAGCUGAUACCUAAAGCAGUAAUUUCAAGGUUGCUGCAUAAACCCAGGAAUAGACUAAUACCUACCUGGAGGAGAGCAGAGGCAUUGGAACUUAAUUUAAACUCUUCCAACUCCCCUCCCUCCCAAUUCUAAGAUAAAUGGACAAAAACAUGCUCUGGAAGCUCUUGUGGAGCCCAGCCAGAGAUGAGCAGGAAGGAGCCAAAGGCAUUUCCACAGCUUGUCUUGCUGUGCUGGAGGCUUGGAGAGGUGUUUAUAAACACCUUUUCUGCUCACAGUGCUCUUGGCCCCUCUCUGGCUCAUGGCCAGGCAUGACCCUGGUCCAAGCUUGUUUUGAAGUGUUUCAUCCCCUGUGCUUUGC